AGAUUCUCAACAGAUUUUUCUGCAUAAGUCAGCUUCAGACCUCCAACUUUGAAAUCGUCUCCUGAACUCAUUUCUCCUCCAAAAAUUACGGAACCAGCAUCGAUACGACCGUAACUGAGUAAGAUUUCCACAGCAAAUCAGAACCAAUCCAAACGGAGUUACUGAGAGGGAGAACUUACCAUUUAAGUGCAGACCUCUUCCAAACAAAUUCUGCAUAAAACUCUGCAUCCUUGCUCCAACUUCAAACACGUUUUCAAAGCUCGUUACUAAACCAAAUGCUACCAAACGAAUGACUAAACUGAAGGAAAUUUCGUCUAGAUUCUGAAAAUUCAACAAUUGCUUAAAUCCGAGUUAUAGGGUGGAAAUUAUGACAGAAAUACCAGGUCCAUACGAAAAUUUCUUAAAUUACCUCCAAUACUUAGAAUAUUCCAACCCAAAACAAGAUUCACGAAUACAAGCCUCAAGAGUGAAAAAGAAUUCUGAAUUUGGGUAAAAACAAGACAUCAAUUAAAAGGAAAAUCUUAAGGUUCAAUGGUGAAAGAACAGGAGAAACAGAAGAAUCAAUUUUCAUUCAUACCUUAACUUUCCUUUGGUAUAAAUUGAUGGAUUGUGACCUUAACUCGUACAUGCAUGCUCAACUGAAAGAGAAACUGAGCUUGGUCUAUCCUAAUUAUGGUUUCGACCAUGACAGAAGGGAAGAGAGUAAAAUAGAACCUAAAUCUUUCAUUUAAAGUGUCUCAUUUGGUGAUGGAUUGAGAGGAAAAACACAUGCAAAGUUUGUUGGUGAUGAUUUAGGGAGAGAUUGAAAAUGAUAAUGGUGGUUAUGGCAAGUGAAGAG
This 838-nucleotide long non-coding RNA is filed under the name Trifolium pratense (red clover). RNAcentral describes it as "long non-coding RNA (TPRA_LNC014027)". Lineage: Eukaryota; Viridiplantae; Streptophyta; Magnoliopsida; Fabales; Fabaceae. The record is from RNAcentral.